GGUCGCGUGGCCUAGUGGUUUCAUGGCGUCUCCUUUACAAUAAUCUGAAACGGAGAAGGUCGCAGGUUCGAUCCCUGCCGCGAUCA
This is a non-coding RNA of Dactylonectria estremocensis, 86 nucleotides long. NCBI's taxonomy places the organism in Eukaryota, Fungi, Ascomycota, Sordariomycetes, Hypocreales, Nectriaceae. The record is from the annotation of a GenBank genome assembly.